CAGUAGUCACGUAGUUUGAUCCUGGCUACAGAACGAACGCUGGCGGCAUGCCUAACACAUGCAAGUCGAACGAUAAGCCACCUUCGGGUGGUGGACAGUGGCGCACGGGUGAGUAACACGUGGGGACCUGCCUGAUAGUACGGAAAAACAGUUGGAAACGACUGCUAAUACCGUAUACGCCCUUCGGGGGAAAGAUUUAUCGCUAUCAGAUGGACCCGCGCUAGAUUAGAUAGUUGGUGAGGUAAUGGCUCACCAAGUCGACGAUCUAUAGCUGGUUUGAGAAGAUGAUCAGCCACAUUGGGACUGAGACACGGCCCAGACUCCUACGGGAGGCAGCAGUGGGGAAUAUUGUACAAUGGGCGCAAGCCUGAUACAGCAAUGCCGCGUGAGUGAAGACGGCCUUAGGGUUGUAAAGCGCUUUCACCUGUGAUGAUGAUGACAGUAGCAGGAGAAGAAGCCCCGGCUAACUCCGUG
This 474-nucleotide ribosomal RNA is filed under the name uncultured bacterium. RNAcentral describes it as "bacterial SSU rRNA". It matches the Rfam family "Bacterial small subunit ribosomal RNA", at positions 1 to 507 of the family's 1533-position model. The record is from RNAcentral.